Molecule: ribosomal RNA, 715 nt
Filed under: uncultured bacterium
Lineage: Bacteria
Description: bacterial SSU rRNA
Rfam family: Bacterial small subunit ribosomal RNA
Source: RNAcentral
ACAUGAGGAAAGCUUGCUUUCCUUGAUGACGACUGGCGCACGGGUGAGUAACGCGUAUCCAACCUUCCCAUAACUACGGGAUAACCCGUUGAAAGACGGCCUAAUACCGUAUGAUAUCGUUUGCUGACAUCAAAUAACGAUUAAAGGUUUAGCGGUUAUGGAUGGGGAUGCGUCUGAUUAGCUUGUUGGCGGGGUAACGGCCCACCAAGGCUACGAUCAGUAGGGGUUCUGAGAGGAAGGUCCCCCACAUUGGAACUGAGACACGGUCCAAACUCCUACGGGAGGCAGCAGUGAGGAAUAUUGGUCAAUGGGCGAGAGCCUGAACCAGCCAAGUAGCGUGCAGGACGACGGCCCUAUGGGUUGUAAACUGCUUUUAUGUGGGGAUAAAGUGCGUGACGUGUCAUGCAUUGCAGGUACCACAUGAAUAAGGACCGGCUAAUUCCGUGCCAGCAGCCGCGGUAAUACGGAAGGUCCGGGCGUUAUCCGGAUUUAUUGGGUUUAAAGGGAGCGUAGGCUGUCUAUUAAGCGUGUUGUGAAAUUUACCGGCUCAACCGGUGGCUUGCAGCGCGAACUGGUCGACUUGAGUAUGCAGGAAGUAGGCGGAAUUCAUGGUGUAGCGGUGAAAUGCUUAGAUAUCAUGACGAACUCCGAUUGCGCAGGCAGCUUACUGUAGCAUAACUGACGCUGAUGCUCGAAAGUGCGGGUAUCAAACAGG